GAGGGGGGGGUUGGCCCACCCUGCCCCGCCAACGCCACCACCAAAACAUUCAAACGAUGAGCGGUGGUGACGCGACUCUGCGUGUGUACGGGCCCCCCCCACUGUCGCGGUUCGGAUCCCAUCGGUUUGCCUCCUCCCCACCCCCCCACCACCACCAGCCCUAGUUAAUACUGCGGGGGAUGUAUCCACCGCGGGGAUGUUUAUCAACCGCGGAAAGGCGAGCGGGACUCGCACAGGGGAACUUGACGUUAUUCGCCACGAGCGAGGCGGGCACGUUCCACAUUAUUGUUGGAAAAGUUUUAAAAAAUGCCAAAGUUUGAACCAAAAAAAUAAUUAAAGUUGGGGGGAGCGGGGGGGUGGAGAGAUGAGAAAAACAGACAAACAAUGCAGCUGCAUCAGGAGCAAUAGCACUAUGUAACACGAUUUCUGACCCUGGGUGGUGUUAUUUUUUUAAUUGCUUAUGCCUUAAAAGUACAGAAAAUUGCUACAAACUUUGCCUCUGUGACCAGGACUUUAUGUGAAGGAAUGACACAAAUGCACACCACGUUUUCUCAAUGAAAACAGGUGCAUUUCUAAAUAUCACUGUCCUGGUCACAAAAUCAAAGUUUGUGGGGAAUAAUAGCCCAUUUUCUGGACGUUUGAGGCAUUAGCAAUUAGGAAAUAACACAUUACCCAGGAACAAAAAAAAGUUUUUUUUGCGACAGUGUUAUUAACCCCCCCACUGCCAAUGGAAAACGUGGCAAGACCCUCCUGCAGAAAGUGUCAUGAGACUCGGGCAAGGUGGGGGGGGGGGGGCUUGGGGGGCGUGAACAUGCGGAACGUGAAGAGGCACUUCUGGAAGCAAACCCAGCGCUAGCAGCAGCAGCGAGCAGCGGCGCAAGUAUCGCCAAGAGGGACUCCUACGGGGCUCUGUUGUGGUGACUGCGUCGUGCGAAGACGACGCGCCCCUGCACUGUCAAAUGUUCGAGACCGUGCGUGACGUCAUGUUUGGACGACCCCAAAGAGGAGGCCGCGAUAUAUAACAGCCUCUAGGUGCCACGGUGCGAGACAGAUCAAAUAUUGAGCCAUCCAGGCUAGCACCGGGGAAGGAAAUAACCCAGCACAACAGACCAAAGGAAGCCCAAGGAGAAACCCACCAACAUGAAAGUGAUGACAUCACAAUGGCAUCAGGUGUUUGUGAUGCAUGUGAGCCCCUUGUGGUAUGAGCCCACAACAAUGUCCUUAUGUGUCCGAAUUAGGCAAUAAACAAUCACAUGAACAAUCCUGA
This is a long non-coding RNA of Petromyzon marinus (sea lamprey), 1267 nucleotides long. RefSeq lists it as uncharacterized. NCBI's taxonomy places the organism in Eukaryota, Metazoa, Chordata, Hyperoartia, Petromyzontiformes, Petromyzontidae. The record is from RefSeq and is a predicted model, not a curated record.